UCUCCGUUGGUGAACCAGCGGAGGGGUCAUUACCGAGUUAUCAACUCCCAAACCCCUGCGAACAUACCCAACGUUGCUUCGGCGGGACCGCCCCGGCGCCCUCGGCGUCCCGGAACCAGGCGCCCGCCGGAGGACCCAAACUCUUGUUUAAACCAUAGUGGCAUAUUCUGAGUCUCACAAGAAAAAUGAAUCAAAACUUUCAACAACGGAUCUCUUGGCUCUG
RNAcentral lists this unclassified non-coding RNA (223 nucleotides) under plant metagenome. RNAcentral's name for it is "partial contains small subunit ribosomal RNA, internal transcribed spacer 1, and 5.8S ribosomal RNA". The record is from RNAcentral.